This 448-nucleotide ribosomal RNA is filed under the name uncultured bacterium. RNAcentral describes it as "bacterial SSU rRNA". It matches the Rfam family "Bacterial small subunit ribosomal RNA", at positions 355 to 825 of the family's 1533-position model. The record is from RNAcentral.
UGGGGAAUUUUGGACAAUGGGCGAAGGCCUGAUGCAGCAACGCCGCGUGCGGGAAGAAGGCCCUAGGGUUGUAAACCGCUUUCAGCAGGGAAGAAAAUGACGGUACCUGCAGAAGAAGGUGCGGCCAACUACGUGCCAGCAGCCGCGGUGACACGUAGGCACCAAGCGUUGUCCGGAUUUAUUGGGCGUAAAGAGCUCGUAGGCGGUUCAGUAAGUCGGGUGUGAAAACUCUGGGCUCAACCCAGAGACGCCACCCGAUACUGCUGUGACUUGAGUACGGUAGGGGAGUGGGGAAUUCCUGGUGUAGCGGUGAAAUGCGCAGAUAUCAGGAGGAACACCAGUGGCGAAGGCGGCUCACUGGACGUGUAUUGACGCUGAGGUACGAAAGCGUGGGGAGCAAACAGGAUUAGAUACCCAAGUAGUCCCUGAGCGGGCUGGCAAGGCGCAU